AGAGAGAUUCGGCAGGACAACAAAAGCCGACCGUAGUGAGUUUGAAUCUAUUGCUCCAAAACAACCACAGUCCGCCGAUGGUAGCGGUUCUGAUCACCGGAAGCGAGAGUAAGAAACUAGAAUCUGGUGCUUUUUAUUUAUUUUUUAAUAUUUGUGGGGCUUUUUGACGCUGGACUGGUACGCGGUAAUGUCACCGGACGAAGGUCUUCGUGACAUCAAUUUUUUGUUUUGGAGACGCGUCGUCCUCUCACGGCAAUUUCACCGCGGUUAGAAUGGACCAUCUGUGGUCUGCUCACCGUCGUGAUAAUAAGAAACUUGAAUUUCGACGAUUUGAUUCCAUUUUUAUUUCUUUGAGGCUCUUUAUCGCAAGGGUGGGGGCGAUAAGCUUACUCGAGAGCCGUCUUUAACUCCUGC
RNAcentral lists this long non-coding RNA (414 nucleotides) under Musa acuminata (dwarf banana). Its description in RNAcentral is "long non-coding RNA (MACU_LNC003344)". The record is from RNAcentral. Lineage: Eukaryota; Viridiplantae; Streptophyta; Magnoliopsida; Zingiberales; Musaceae.